UGACGGGUGGUGACGCGCCGGGCACAGCCGGGGUCGGGGCUGGCCGGGAGGGCGCGCUGGGCGCUGGCCCGAGAGGGAUCGGGCCGUGGCAGGGAUGUGCUGGAUGGGAGCAGCACAGCCAGGUGAGCACAGGCACAGAAACCCCAGUCUCUCCUGCCCAGCAGAAGGUUGGCUUCCCAGCUCCAACGCUCCUCCUGGACCCACCUCAGAUGGUUUGUAGUUAAUUUGAUGACUGGCAUGAACUUCAGCUCUGAAAAGUGGAUGUUCCACCACCUUAACACAGUUGUUGCUGAGUAAGGACUGGAUGCGCCUCCUGCUCCUGAGUCAGGGCUGCUGACAUGAGCAAGUGGGAGGAAGAUCAGGCUCUGGCGAGGACAGACUUCAGGAGCUGGUCCAUUCUUCUUUCACACAGAUGGGAGUGUCACAGCAUGCUUUCCUGCCUAAUCAGUCUCAACACAGCCUUGCACAACUCAGCCUCCUUUAAGCUUUUAACCAGGGUGUAGGAGUUCAGAAAAAAAAUCACCUCCCUUCCCCCAAGAAAAAUGUAAUGGAAAAGAUUUGUUUUGAUGUAGCACAAACAGUAAACUUGAAUCACUGAAA
Long non-coding RNA from Neopsephotus bourkii (Bourke's parrot), 600 nucleotides. RefSeq lists it as uncharacterized. The transcript is spliced from 3 exons. NCBI's taxonomy places the organism in Eukaryota, Metazoa, Chordata, Aves, Psittaciformes, Psittacidae. The record is from RefSeq and is a predicted model, not a curated record.